UACAGGAAUUUUGAUUGAAGAGC
RNAcentral lists this non-coding RNA (23 nucleotides) under Cricetulus griseus (Chinese hamster). Lineage: Eukaryota; Metazoa; Chordata; Mammalia; Rodentia; Cricetidae. The record is from RNAcentral.